RNAcentral lists this long non-coding RNA (230 nucleotides) under Phoenix dactylifera (date palm). Its description in RNAcentral is "long non-coding RNA (PDAC_LNC005521)". The record is from RNAcentral. Lineage: Eukaryota; Viridiplantae; Streptophyta; Magnoliopsida; Arecales; Arecaceae.
GAACGUGUAGUUUGUAUGAUAAGCAUAUUAUAAUUGUAAAUGAUAACACAUAUCAAGCAUGAUAAAUUUCAGUAAAAUCAAUGUUAGAGAGAAAGCAUCCUCCUUGUAAAAUAUAGCGGUCCUUCAACUCAUUUUCUCAAGGCCACCAGACAAUCCACAAGCCAGAGAGAUUUCUCUCUGGAAGAGAAGAAAUUAUUAGUUGGACCAAGUUCACUAGCUUGGUGGACCAA